Molecule: transfer RNA, 75 nt
Filed under: Micromonospora globbae
Lineage: Bacteria; Bacillati; Actinomycetota; Actinomycetes; Micromonosporales; Micromonosporaceae
Description: tRNA-Val
Rfam family: tRNA
About the family: Transfer RNA (tRNA) molecules are approximately 80 nucleotides in length. Their secondary structure includes four short double-helical elements and three loops (D, anti-codon, and T loops). Further hydrogen bonds mediate the characteristic L-shaped molecular structure. tRNAs have two regions of fundamental functional importance: the anti-codon, which is responsible for specific mRNA codon recognition, and the 3' end, to which the tRNAs corresponding amino acid is attached (by aminoacyl-tRNA synthetases). tRNAs cope with the degeneracy of the genetic code in two manners: having more than one tRNA (with a specific anti-codon) for a particular amino acid; and 'wobble' base-pairing, i.e. permitting non-standard base-pairing at the 3rd anti-codon position.
Source: RNAcentral
GGGCGAUUGGCGCAGUGGGAGCGCGCUUCCUUGACACGGAAGAGGUCACUGGUUCGAACCCAGUAUCGCCCACCG